RNAcentral lists this ribosomal RNA (497 nucleotides) under uncultured bacterium. RNAcentral's name for it is "partial 16S ribosomal RNA". It matches the Rfam family "Bacterial small subunit ribosomal RNA", at positions 28 to 507 of the family's 1533-position model. The record is from RNAcentral.
GAUGAACGCUGGCGGCGUGCCUAAUACAUGCAAGUCGAGCGAACAGACGCGGAGCUUGCUCCUCUGACGUUAGCGGAGGACGGGUGAGUAACACGUGGAUAACCUACCUAUAAGACUGGGAUCACUUCGGGAAACCGGCGCUAAUACCGGAUAAUAUAUUGAACCGCAUGGUUCAAUAGUGAAAGACGGUUUUGCUGUCACUUAUAGAUGGAUCCGCGCCGCAUUAGCUAGUUGGUAAGGUAACGGCUUACCAAGGCAACGAUGCGUAGCCGACCUGAGAGGGGGAUCGGCCACACUAGAGCUGGGACACGGUCCAGACUCCUACGGGAGGCAGCAGUAGGGAAUCUGCCGCAAUGGGCGAAAGCCUGACGGAGCAACGCCGCGUGAGUGAUGAAGGUCUUCGGAGCGUAAAACUCUGUUAUUAGGGAAGAACAAAUGUGUAAGUAACUAUGCACUUCUUGACGGUACCUAAUCAGAAAGCCACGGCUAACUACGUG